CCUGUCUCUGAUCCCCACCUCAGCCCUGAAACACUUCAACAGAACUGAGUGUCUCUCUUGCCCUGGGCAGCGUAGGGGACUCUCCCCUGCCUUGUUGGGAUGUAGUUGAUGGCAGAGGAGACGAUGCACUACGUUGGGAUGGAAACUGUGACUCAGACUCAGAGAGGUUCCUCCUCCUGCACUCCCCUGGUCUAUAGCUAUCACAGGCAAGACCACAGGAUUUCUGUACAGCCACAGGAGCAGAGCAUCAGCCCCCUGAACCAGGAGACGCUGCAAAGCCACAGCUGCUCCCACAAGGCAUCUGCCAGCUUCCUCUCCUGCUUGCACUUCCAUUCCUGCCACCCUAGAAAGCUUCGGGAUAUGCUCUUCCUCCUCGUUUUCUGCUGUUAACUUGGUGCUGGUGUCAUUAUAGUAGCUGCCAUAUUCCACCUCACCAAAACAUGCAAGGGCAGAGAGAGAGAUGCCACAGCUGCUGAGCACCCUGCAUUUCCGGCCAUUUCUGGAAACGGGGUCAUUUGUCGUAAGUGAAUACAAGCUUUUGGCCUCAUCAGCAGGAGGACUGUACAGGCAUCUGUAUUAAGGAGAGACUCAGUACCCUACAGCCUGAGAUUCCCUCUUCAGCUGAGACCUGCCCCCACCAGCUGUGGGGAACCAGUUUGGAAUUUGAAGAACAGGAGUACUUGUGGCAGUUUAGAGACUAACAAAUUUAUGUGAGCAUAAGCUUUCGUGGACUAAUGCCCACUUCAUCAAUCAUAUUCACAAAGAUGUGAUUGGAUUAUUCCCAGCAAAGGUGCAGUAGCACACAGUGACCACAGUGUGGCAGUAAAGGCACAUCACAUCGGAGGUGCACUUCAGACAAGCCAGUAACCAGAGGACUUCAAAGCCUUUGACCAUGGUCCUGCUGGGAGGAAAAUAUCCCUGUUCACAUAGGAGAGAGUCCAAAAAGCCCAGGCUGUGUUUUCAGGAGUGGCCUCUGGUUUUGGUUGCCCAACGAGAGGACAGUUUGGAGCUGAUUUUCAUUGUCAAUUCAUAGAAUUUCAUAGCCAGUGAAGUCAACGGCCAUCGUGUUAAAGGAGGCUGAACAGUGUAUUUUUAGAUAUAUUGCUGCCUACAUUUCCUCCCACGUUGAGGUUUGGCACAUGAUCUCGAAUGGGCUAAGUUACUUGCUAGUCAAAUGUUCGUAGGCUGGCUUGCUCAUAGGGUUUUUGAAACGUGUUCAUUUUAUCAUACAGUUUCAGUUUUUGCCAGCAGCUCUUCCAUUAACUCUAUGGUGUGGGGCUACCUCAGGGGCUCUCGCUGUAAGCAUGUUUCACUAGGGACUUCCCAUUUUUGGCAUCAAAGUGAA
This 1345-nucleotide long non-coding RNA is filed under the name Gopherus agassizii (Agassiz's desert tortoise). RNAcentral describes it as "lncRNA (ENSGAGG00000009982.1)". The record is from RNAcentral. Lineage: Eukaryota; Metazoa; Chordata; Testudines; Testudinidae.